Molecule: ribosomal RNA, 404 nt
Filed under: Fusobacteriota bacterium
Lineage: Bacteria; Fusobacteriati; Fusobacteriota
Description: Fusobacteria bacterium partial 16S ribosomal RNA
Rfam family: Bacterial small subunit ribosomal RNA
Source: RNAcentral
UGGGGAAUAUUGCACAAUGGGCGAAAGCCUGCUGCAGCGACGCCGCGUGAGUGAAGAAGUAUUUCGGUAUGUAAAGCUCUAUCAGCAGGGAAGAAAAUGACGGUACCUGACUAAGAAGCCCCGGCUAACUACGUGCCAGCAGCCGCGGUAAUACGUAGGGGGCAAGCGUUAUCCGGAUUUACUGGGUGGAAAGGGAGCGUAGACGGCGAAGCAAGUCUGAAGUGAAAACCCAGGGCUCAACCCUGGGACUGCUUUGGAAACUGUUUUGCUAGAGUGUCGGAGAGGUAAGUGGAAUUCCUAGUGUAGCGGUGAAAUGCGUAGAUAUUAGGAGGAGCACCAGUGGCGAAGGCGGCUUACUGGACGAUAACUGACGUUGAGGCUCGAAAGCGUGGGGAGCAAACAGG